Molecule: ribosomal RNA, 429 nt
Filed under: uncultured bacterium
Lineage: Bacteria
Description: bacterial SSU rRNA
Rfam family: Bacterial small subunit ribosomal RNA
Source: RNAcentral
UGGGGAAUAUUGGACAAUGGGGGGAACCCUGAUCCAGCCAUGCCGCGUGUGUGAAGAAGGCCUUAUGGUUGUAAAGCACUUUAAGCGAGGAGGAGGCUACUGAGACUAAUACUCUUGGAUAGUGGACGUUACUCGCAGAAUAAGCACCGGCUAACUCUGUGCCAGCAGCCGCGGUAAUACAGAGGGUGCGAGCGUUAAUCGGACUUACUGGGCGUAAAGCGUGCGUAGGCGGCUUUUUAAGUCGGAUGUGAAAUCCCCGAGCUUAACUUGGGAAUUGCAUUCGAUACUGGGAAGCUAGAGUAUGGGAGAGGAUGGUAGAAUUCCAGGCGUAGCGGUGAAAUGCGUAGAGAUCUGGAGGAAUACCGAUGGCGAAGGCAGCCAUCUGGCCUAAUACUGACGCUGAGGUACGAAAGCAUGGGGAGCAAACAG